Molecule: ribosomal RNA, 389 nt
Filed under: Ansanella sp.
Lineage: Eukaryota; Dinophyceae; Suessiales; Suessiaceae
Description: partial small subunit ribosomal RNA
Rfam family: Eukaryotic small subunit ribosomal RNA
Source: RNAcentral
AUUCCAGCUCCAAUAGCGUAUAUUAAAGUUGUUGCGGUUAAAAAGCUCGUAGUUGGAUUUCUGCUGAGGAUGACUGGUCCGCCCUCUGGGUGAGUAUCUAGCCUAUCCUUGGCAUCUUCCUGAAGAACGUAGCUGCACUUGACUGUGUGGUGCGGUAUUUAGGACAUUUACUUUGAGGAAAUUAGAGUGUUUCAAGCAAGCGCACGCCUUGAAUACAUUAGCAUGGAAUAAUAAGAUAGGACCUCGGUUCUAUUUUGUUGGUUUCUAGACCUGAAGUAAUGAUUGAUAGGGACAGUUGGGGGUGCUAGUAUUGGCCGGCCAGAGGUGAAAUUCUUGGACUCGGUCAAGACUAACUUAUGCGAAAGCAUUCACCAAGGAUGUCUUCAUCG